This is a long non-coding RNA of Gasterosteus aculeatus aculeatus (three-spined stickleback), 442 nucleotides long. Lineage: Eukaryota; Metazoa; Chordata; Actinopteri; Perciformes; Gasterosteidae. The record is from Ensembl.
GUUGACCGUGACCACUUGCUUUUGCCUCCUUUUUAAAAAUAAUACAUUAUUUGUUUUUGCAACAUUGGUCAUUGGGGGCUUGUACUACAAAUUUCUCUUAAAUGCCUGGAAUGUCACCUUUGCACUCAGGGGUGGCCGGGCCAUGUGAGAAAUGAAAAGAGGACUUUGUUUCCCAGCGGAGUGAAACAGUCGCAGCCUUGGGUCAGCAAAACUUCUCUUCUGUACAUCCAUAAUCAUCUGUCCUUUAAGGGCAUGUUUAUGUUUGCACAUAUUUCCUCUUCGAUUGUGCCGAAGGAGACUGAACUCAUGAGAACGCUGUCGGCCAAGUGUCCUCAUAUCCUGCACUGGCCGCAUCGGCGUAGAGAGGCACCUAUUAGCGUCCUACCUUCCUCACGCCAGCUUUAAGGACACUGUCUGCUGCAGAGUUCACAACACAGAUGAC